This 253-nucleotide ribosomal RNA is filed under the name uncultured bacterium. Its description in RNAcentral is "partial 16S ribosomal RNA". It matches the Rfam family "Bacterial small subunit ribosomal RNA", at positions 524 to 776 of the family's 1533-position model. The record is from RNAcentral.
UACAGAGGUCUCAAGCGUUGUUCGGAUUCAUUGGGCGUAAAGGGUGCGUAGGUGGCAGGCUAAGUCGGAUGUGAAAUCCCAGGGCUCAACCCUGGAACUGCAUUCGAUACUGGUUUGCUUGAGGACUGGAGAGGAGAUUGGAAUUCAUGGUGUAGCAGUGAAAUGCGUAGAUAUCAUGAGGAAGACCAGUGGCGAAGGCGGAUCUCUGGACAGUUCCUGACACUGAGGCACGAAGGCCAGGGGAGCAAACGGG